CGGGGUGCACCAGGCGCGAAAACUUUACAAUGCUGGCAACAGCGAUAAGGGGACCUCGAGUGCCAGGAUACAAUCUUGGCUGUCGCGAUGCCUAAAAAGCAUUGCAUAGCAAGGGCCGGGCAAGACCGGUGCCAGCCGCCGCGGUAACACCGGCGGCUCGAGUGGUAACCGCUAUUAUUGGGUCUAAAGGGUCUGUAGCCGGCCGGAUAAGUCUUUUGGGAAAUCCAGCUGCUCAACAGUUGGGCUUUCAGAAGAUACUGUUCGGCUCGAGACCGGGAGAGGUGAGAGGUACUUCAGGGGUAGGGGUGAAAUCUUGUAAUCCUUGAAGGACCACCAGUGGCGAAGGCGUCUCACCAGAACGGAUCUGACGGCAAGGGACGAAAGCUAGGGGCACGAACCGGAUUAGAUACCCGGGUAGUCCUAGCCGUAAACGAUACUCGCUAGGUGUCAGCCACGGUGCGACCGUGGUUGGUGCCGUAGGGAAGCCGUGAAGCGAGCCACCUGGGAAGUACGGCCGCAAGGCUGAAACUUAAAGGAAUUGGCGGGGAGCAC
Molecule: ribosomal RNA, 552 nt
Filed under: uncultured archaeon
Lineage: Archaea
Description: bacterial SSU rRNA
Rfam family: Archaeal small subunit ribosomal RNA
Source: RNAcentral